GACGAACGCUGGCGGCGUGCUUAACACAUGCAAGUCGAACGGAAAGGCCCUGCUUUUGUGGGGUGCUCGAGUGGCGAACGGGUGAGUAACACGUGAGUAACCUGCCCUUGACUUUGGGAUAACUUCAGGAAACUGGGGCUAAUACCGGAUAGGAGCUCCUGCUGCAUGGUGGGGGUUGGAAAGUUUCGGCGGUUGGGGAUGGACUCGCGGCUUAUCAGCUUGUUGGUGGGGUGGUGGCUUACCAAGGCUUUGACGGGUAGCCGGCCUGAGAGGGUGACCGGCCACAUUGGGACUGAGAUACGGCCCAGACUCCUACGGGAGGCAGCAGUGGGGAAUAUUGCACAAUGGGCGGAAGCCUGAUGCAGCAACGCCGCGUGCGGGAUGACGGCCUUCGGGUUGUAAACCGCUUUCGCCUGUGACGAAGCGUGAGUGACGGUAAUGGGUAAAGAAACACCGGCGAACUACGU
RNAcentral lists this ribosomal RNA (467 nucleotides) under uncultured bacterium. RNAcentral describes it as "partial 16S ribosomal RNA". It matches the Rfam family "Bacterial small subunit ribosomal RNA", at positions 28 to 506 of the family's 1533-position model. The record is from RNAcentral.